GGGGGCGACUGGUUUCGACAUGGUAAGUCGGAGUCGAAGAGCAGGUCGUGGUCUCCUCGCCACGUUAAACAGGGGUACCGUCAAGUUAAUUGGCAAAUCUUACAAUAACAACCUCGCUCUCGCUGCUUAAUUGUAGCUCGAGGUGCCUAACUGGGGAUUUUCCUCGUUCCUGGGGCGGUAUCAUUUUUAGAGGAAUGCUUCUUGCGGCGUAGCUGGUAUACGCAAGAAAAAGAUUGAACCCGCUAGGUAUUUCAGCGGCCUGUCGAUGGGCUUUGAAAUACUAAAGCCAAAACACCGACUAAGCUUGUAGUGCUUUGAUGACGGUUUAGUAUGGACCGGAGUUCGAUUCUCCGCGCCUCCACCA
Molecule: transfer-messenger RNA, 364 nt
Filed under: Eggerthella sp. CAG:368
Lineage: Bacteria; Bacillati; Actinomycetota; Coriobacteriia; Eggerthellales; Eggerthellaceae
Also listed under: 3 other names
Rfam family: transfer-messenger RNA
About the family: Bacterial tmRNA, also known as 10Sa RNA or SsrA, is named for its dual tRNA and mRNA-like properties. Its role is to liberate the mRNA from a stalled ribosome. To accomplish this part of the tmRNA is used as a reading frame that ends in a translation stop signal.
Source: Rfam by way of RNAcentral